UACGUAGGGGGGCAAGCGUUGUCCGGAAUCAUUGGGCGUAAAGAGCGCGUAGGCGGCCCAGUAAGUCCGCUCUGAAAGUCAGGGGCUCAACCCCUGAAUGCGGGUGGAUACUGCUGGGCUAGAGUCCGGAAGAGGCGAGUGGAAUUCCUGGUGUAGCGGUGAAAUGCGCAGAUAUCAGGAGGAACACCAGUGGCGAAGGCGGAGACCUGGGCAGAUAUUGACGCUGAGGUGCGAAAGCGUGGGGAGCAAACAGG
This 254-nucleotide ribosomal RNA is filed under the name uncultured bacterium. RNAcentral's name for it is "partial 16S ribosomal RNA". It matches the Rfam family "Bacterial small subunit ribosomal RNA", at positions 524 to 776 of the family's 1533-position model. The record is from RNAcentral.